Molecule: ribosomal RNA, 435 nt
Filed under: uncultured bacterium
Lineage: Bacteria
Description: bacterial SSU rRNA
Rfam family: Bacterial small subunit ribosomal RNA
Source: RNAcentral
AACGAAACGCUGGCGGCAUGCCCUAACACAUGCAAGUCGAACGAACCCUUCGGGGUUAGUGGCGCACGGGUGCGUAACGCGUGGGAACCUGCCUUUAGGUUCGGAAUAACUCAGAGAAAUUUGAGCUAAUACCGGAUGAUGUCUUCGGACCAAAGAUUUAUCGCCUUUAGAUGGGCCCGCGUUAGAUUAGAUAGUUGGUGGGGUAAUGGCCUACCAAGUCGACGAUCUAUAGCUGGUCUGAGAGGAUGAUCAGCCACACUGGGACUGAGACACGGCCCAGACUCCUACGGGAGGCAGCAGUGGGGAAUAUUGGACAAUGGGCGAAAGCCUGAUCCAGCAAUGACGCGUGAGUGAUGAAGGCCUUAGGGUUGUAAAGCUCUUUUACCAGGGAUGAUAGUGACAGUACCUGGAGAAUAAGCUCCGGCUAACUCCGUG